RNAcentral lists this transfer RNA (88 nucleotides) under Mesosutterella sp. RNAcentral describes it as "tRNA-Leu". It matches the Rfam family "tRNA". Rfam says of the family: Transfer RNA (tRNA) molecules are approximately 80 nucleotides in length. Their secondary structure includes four short double-helical elements and three loops (D, anti-codon, and T loops). Further hydrogen bonds mediate the characteristic L-shaped molecular structure. tRNAs have two regions of fundamental functional importance: the anti-codon, which is responsible for specific mRNA codon recognition, and the 3' end, to which the tRNAs corresponding amino acid is attached (by aminoacyl-tRNA synthetases). tRNAs cope with the degeneracy of the genetic code in two manners: having more than one tRNA (with a specific anti-codon) for a particular amino acid; and 'wobble' base-pairing, i.e. permitting non-standard base-pairing at the 3rd anti-codon position. Lineage: Bacteria; Pseudomonadati; Pseudomonadota; Betaproteobacteria; Burkholderiales; Sutterellaceae. RNAcentral also lists the same sequence under 2 other names. The record is from RNAcentral.
GCGGGAAUGGCGAAAUUGGUAGACGCCCGGGGUUUAGGUCUCCGUGCCCGUUGAGGGCGUGUCGGUUCAAGUCCGACUUCCCGCACCA